UACAGCGGUGGCAAGCGUUGUUCGGAAUUACUGGGCGUAAAGGGCGCGUAGGCGGUCUUGCAAGUCCUGUGUGAAAUCCCUCGGCUCAACUGAGGAACUGCACAGGAAACUGCUUGGCUUGAGUUCGGGAGAGGGAAGCGGAAUUCCGGGUGUAGCGGUGAAAUGCGUAGAUAUCCGGAGGAACACCGGUGGCGAAGGCGGCUUCCUGGACCGACACUGACGCUGAGGCGCGAAAGCUAGGGGAGCAAACGGG
RNAcentral lists this ribosomal RNA (253 nucleotides) under uncultured bacterium. RNAcentral describes it as "partial 16S ribosomal RNA". It matches the Rfam family "Bacterial small subunit ribosomal RNA", at positions 524 to 776 of the family's 1533-position model. The record is from RNAcentral.